RNAcentral lists this ribosomal RNA (498 nucleotides) under Triticum aestivum (bread wheat). Its description in RNAcentral is "partial small subunit ribosomal RNA". The record is from RNAcentral. Lineage: Eukaryota; Viridiplantae; Streptophyta; Magnoliopsida; Poales; Poaceae.
AUGGUCCAUAAAGAGAACAAGUGCUGGUGUGUGUUCCGAUCCAGUAAAUUUUCUUCAUGUGCCACACAAGUGGAGACGACUCUGCUUUUUUACCAUGAUCUUGAGAGUUAUGAGCUUUAUGACAAUAAUGACUCUCAAGUUCAGCAAGAGCUCGUACAAAAGAUAUGGAAAGUGUUUGAGACUAUACUAGAAGAGGCCAUGGAGCUUCUAUGGUUGGUUCAUAUGUGGUUAUCGAAGCAGGAUAAGUUCUUGAGAAGGACUCUAAUUGCUAUGGACCACAAGAUUUCAGAUGUCGCUCCCUAUUGCGUAUUGCUGUUGACAUUGGACUUGCUAUCCAGUAAGAGGGACAUUGGGAUCAUUGUUCAUCUAGAGAAGUCAGUGCCAAAUCUACGUCAGAAUAUUGGGAUGUUAAUGAUUGGAGUCCCGCAUUCCAAUCAACAACAUUGGGCCGAGCGAGCACGCGGGUGGUGCAAGAGGCAAUGGGCAGCCGGUACGUGA